GACGAACGCUGGCGGCGUGCUUAACACAUGCAAGUCGAACGGAAAGGCCCUGCUUUUGUGGGUUGCUCGAGUGGCGAACGGGUGAGUAACACGUGAGUAACCUGCCCUUGACUUUGUGAUAACUUCAGGAAACUGGGGCUAAUACCGGAUAGGAUCUCCUGCUGCAUGGUGGGGGUUGGUAAGUUUCGGCGGUUGGGGAUGGACUCGCGGCUUAUCAGCUUGUUGGUGGGGUAGUGGCUUACCAAGGCUUUGACGGGUAGCCGGCCUGAGAGGGUGACCGGCCACAUUAGGACUGAGAUACGGCCCAGACUACUACGGGAGGCAGCAGUGGGGAAUAUUGCACAAUGGGCGGAAGCCUGAUGCAGCAACGCCGCGUGCGGGAUGACGGCCUUCGGGUUGUAAACCGCUUUCGCCUGUGACGAAGCGUGAGUGACGGUAAUGGGUAAAGAAGCACCGGCUAACUACGUG
Molecule: ribosomal RNA, 468 nt
Filed under: uncultured bacterium
Lineage: Bacteria
Description: partial 16S ribosomal RNA
Rfam family: Bacterial small subunit ribosomal RNA
Source: RNAcentral